CAAGACCAAUAAGGCCCAUCAAAGACCUGCAGGGAAAGAAAUACAGCAAACAGAGACCGUCGCAAGAAUUUCCUCCAAGCCCAUCGCUUCCUUCUGACAUUUUGGAGCCCAGAAAUGCCUAUCGGAGCCCAGUGCCCUGGAGACGCAGGAGAAGGAGGCUUUGAAGGAUCCCGCUCGCUCAGGGCUUUGUGCCUGGUUUCAACCACUGUGAAGCUGCGUUGUACAAGGA
This is a long non-coding RNA of Nothoprocta perdicaria, 229 nucleotides long. RefSeq lists it as uncharacterized. The transcript is spliced from 2 exons. The record is from RefSeq and is a predicted model, not a curated record. Lineage: Eukaryota; Metazoa; Chordata; Aves; Tinamiformes; Tinamidae.